The sequence is a ribosomal RNA, 553 nucleotides long. It matches the Rfam family "Bacterial small subunit ribosomal RNA", at positions 84 to 651 of the family's 1533-position model.
UGGGUGGAUUAGUGGCGAACGGGUGAGUAACACGUGAGUAACCUGCCCUUAACUCUGGGAUAAGCCUGGGAAACUGGGUCUAAUACCGGAUAGGAGCGCCUACCGCAUGGUGGGUGUUGGAAAGAUUUAUCGGUUUUGGAUGGACUCGCGGCCUAUCAGCUUGUUGGUGAGGUAAUGGCUCACCAAGGCGACGACGGGUAGCCGGCCUGAGAGGGUGACCGGCCACACUGGGACUGAGACACGGCCCAGACUCCUACGGGAGGCAGCAGUGGGGAAUAUUGCACAAUGGGCGCAAGCCUGAUGCAGCGACGCCGCGUGAGGGAUGACGGCCUUCGGGUUGUAAACCUCUUUCAGUAGGGAAGAAGCGAAAGUGACGGUACCUGCAGAAGAAGCACCGGCUAACUACGUGCCAGCAGCCGCGGUAAUACGUAGGGUGCGAGCGUUAUCCGGAAUUAUUGGGCGUAAAGAGCUCGUAGGCGGUUUGUCACGUCUGUCGUGAAAGUCCGGGGCUUAACCCCGGAUCUGCGGUGGGUACGGGCAGACUAGAGUGCAG